RNAcentral lists this ribosomal RNA (568 nucleotides) under aquatic bacterium RUB_R2A_46. RNAcentral describes it as "bacterial SSU rRNA". It matches the Rfam family "Bacterial small subunit ribosomal RNA", at positions 338 to 918 of the family's 1533-position model. Lineage: Bacteria; Bacillati; Actinomycetota; Actinomycetes; Micrococcales; Microbacteriaceae. The record is from RNAcentral.
CCUACGGGAGGCAGCAGUGGGGAAUAUUGCACAAUGGGCGGAAGCUGAUGCAGCAACGCCGCGUGAGGGAUGACGGCCUUCGGGUUGUAAACCUCUUUUAGCAGGGAAGAAGCGAAAGUGACGGUACCUGCAGAAAAGCGCCGGCUAACUACGUGCCAGCAGCCGCGGUAAUACGUAGGGCGCAAGCGUUAUCCGGAAUUAUUGGGCGUAAAGAGCUCGUAGGCGGUUUGUCGCGUCUGCUGUGAAAUCUGGGGGCUCAACCCCCAGCCUGCAGUGGGUACGGGCAGACUAGAGUGCGGUAGGGGAGAUUGGAAUUCCUGGUGUAGCGGUGGAAUGCGCAGAUAUCAGGAGGAACACCGAUGGCGAAGGCAGAUCUCUGGGCCGUAACUGACGCUGAGGAGCGAAAGGGUGGGGAGCAAACAGGCUUAGAUACCCUGGUAGUCCACCCCGUAAACGUUGGGAACUAGUUGUGGGGUCCAUUCCACGGAUUCCGUGACGCAGCUAACGCAUUAAGUUCCCCGCCUGGGGAGUACGGCCGCAAGGCUAAAACUCAAAGGAAUUGACGGGG